RNAcentral lists this ribosomal RNA (1372 nucleotides) under uncultured bacterium. RNAcentral describes it as "bacterial SSU rRNA". It matches the Rfam family "Bacterial small subunit ribosomal RNA", at positions 28 to 1381 of the family's 1533-position model. The record is from RNAcentral.
GAUGAACGCUGGCGGCGUGCCUAAUACAUGCAAGUCGAGCGAACGGACGAGAAGCUUGCUUCUCUGAUGUUAGCGGCGGACGGGUGAGUAACACGUGGAUAACCUACCUAUAAGACUGGGAUAACUUCGGGAAACCGGAGCUAAUACCGGAUAAUAUUUUGAACCGCAUGGUUCAAAAGUAAAAGACGGUCUUGCUGUCACUUAUAGAUGGAUCCGCGCUGCAUUAGCUAGUUGGUAAGGUAACGGCUUACCAAGGCAACGAUGCAUAGCCGACCUGAGAGGGUGAUCGGCCACACUGGAACUGAGACACGGUCCAGACUCCUACGGGAGGCAGCAGUAGGGAAUCUUCCGCAAUGGGCGAAAGCCUGACGGAGCAACGCCGCGUGAGUGAUGAAGGUCUUCGGAUCGUAAAACUCUGUUAUUAGGGAAGAAUAUAUGUGUAAGUAACUGUGCACAUCUUGACGGUACCUAAUCAGAAAGCCACGGCUAACUACGUGCCAGCAGCCGCGGUAAUACGUAGGUGGCAAGCGUUAUCCGGAAUUAUUGGGCGUAAAGCGCGCGUAGGCGGUUUUUUAAGUCUGAUGUGAAAGCCCACGGCUCAACCGUGGAGGGUCAUUGGAAACUGGAAAACUUGAGUGCAGAAGAGGAAAGUGGAAUUCCAUGUGUAGCGGUGAAAUGCGCAGAGAUAUGGAGGAACACCAGUGGCGAAGGCGACUUUCUGGUCUGUAACUGACGCUGAUGUGCGAAAGCGUGGGGAUCAAACAGGAUUAGAUACCCUGGUAGUCCACGCCGUAAACGAUGAGUGCUAAGUGUUAGGGGGUUUCCGCCCCUUAGUGCUGCAGCUAACGCAUUAAGCACUCCGCCUGGGGAGUACGACCGCAAGGUUGAAACUCAAAGGAAUUGACGGGGACCCGCACAAGCGGUGGAGCAUGUGGUUUAAUUCGAAGCAACGCGAAGAACCUUACCAAAUCUUGACAUCCUCUGAUCCCCCUAGAGAUAGAGGUUUCCCCUUCGGGGGACAGAGUGACAGGUGGUGCAUGGUUGUCGUCAGCUCGUGUCGUGAGAUGUUGGGUUAAGUCCCGCAACGAGCGCAACCCUUAAGCUUAGUUGCCAUCAUUAAGUUGGGCACUCUAAGUUGACUGCCGGUGACAAACCGGAGGAAGGUGGGGAUGACGUCAAAUCAUCAUGCCCCUUAUGAUUUGGGCUACACACGUGCUACAAUGGACAAUACAAAGGGCAGCGAAACCGCGAGGUCAAGCAAAUCCCAUAAAGUUGUUCUCAGUUCGGAUUGUAGUCUGCAACUCGACUAUAUGAAGCUGGAAUCGCUAGUAAUCGUAGAUCAGCAUGCUACGGUGAAUACGUUCCCGGGUCU